UGGGUUAUAGCUCAGUGGUAGAGCAUGUGUUUAGCAUGUGCAAGGUCCUGGGUUUGAUCCCUAGUACCCCCU
RNAcentral lists this transfer RNA (72 nucleotides) under Dipodomys ordii (Ord's kangaroo rat). It matches the Rfam family "tRNA". Rfam says of the family: Transfer RNA (tRNA) molecules are approximately 80 nucleotides in length. Their secondary structure includes four short double-helical elements and three loops (D, anti-codon, and T loops). Further hydrogen bonds mediate the characteristic L-shaped molecular structure. tRNAs have two regions of fundamental functional importance: the anti-codon, which is responsible for specific mRNA codon recognition, and the 3' end, to which the tRNAs corresponding amino acid is attached (by aminoacyl-tRNA synthetases). tRNAs cope with the degeneracy of the genetic code in two manners: having more than one tRNA (with a specific anti-codon) for a particular amino acid; and 'wobble' base-pairing, i.e. permitting non-standard base-pairing at the 3rd anti-codon position. Lineage: Eukaryota; Metazoa; Chordata; Mammalia; Rodentia; Heteromyidae. The record is from Rfam by way of RNAcentral.